GAUCCUAGUAGCGCGUCUGACUCCAGAUCAGAAGGCUGCGUGUUCGAGUCACGCCGGGUUCA
This 62-nucleotide transfer RNA is filed under the name Selaginella moellendorffii. It matches the Rfam family "tRNA", at positions 14 to 71 of the family's 71-position model. From Rfam's summary of the family: Transfer RNA (tRNA) molecules are approximately 80 nucleotides in length. Their secondary structure includes four short double-helical elements and three loops (D, anti-codon, and T loops). The record is from Rfam by way of RNAcentral. Lineage: Eukaryota; Viridiplantae; Streptophyta; Lycopodiopsida; Selaginellales; Selaginellaceae.